AACAGCUGCGGUAUUUUAACUGUACUAAGGUAGCAUAAUAAUUUGCCUUAUAAUUUGAGGCUAGAAUGAAUGGUUUGACGAAGGUUAAUCUGUCUCUAUUUUACUUUUUAGAAAUUAAUUUUCACAGUGAAAAAGCUUGGAUUUUUUAAAGGGACGAGAAGACCCUAUUGAGCUUAUAAUUUUAUUACCGUUAGUAGUGAUUAAAAUUUUACUAAGGGUAUAUAAAUUUUAAUUGGGGUGAUUAAGGAAUAAAAGCUUAUGUAUUAAUAACUUCCUUAGAAAUAAAUAAAAAAUUGUUAGAUAAAGUAACCAAUAAAUUGUUAAAAUUAUUGCUUAUACUAUAGUUACCAUAGGGAUAACAGCGUAAUUUAUUUAGAGAGUUCUUAUUGAAAAAUAAGAUUGCGACCUCGAUGUUGGAUUAAAGUAACCUUAAGGUGCAGAAGCUUUAAUAAGGUAAAUCUGUUCGAUUUUUAAAACUUUACGUGAUCUGAGUCCAAA
This 498-nucleotide ribosomal RNA is filed under the name Doryteuthis surinamensis. RNAcentral's name for it is "partial 16S ribosomal RNA". It matches the Rfam family "Bacterial large subunit ribosomal RNA", at positions 1926 to 2615 of the family's 2925-position model. The record is from RNAcentral. Lineage: Eukaryota; Metazoa; Mollusca; Cephalopoda; Myopsida; Loliginidae.